CUUGAGUAGUAAUAGUUAUGUUCUUGAAACUCAAAGAAUUUGGCGGUGUUUUAGUCUUUUCAGAGGAACCUGUCCCGUAAUCGAUAAUCCACGUUAAACCUUACUUAUUUUUGUUAACAGCUUGUAUACCGCCGUCGUCAGAAUGUCCUAAGAAGGGUUAAAUUUUCUUAAAUUUUUAUUAAAAAUGAUGUCAGGUCAAGGUGUAGCUUACGAAUAAGUGGAGAUGGGUUACAAUAAAUGUAUUUAUAACGGAUAAAAUUUUGAAAUAAAUUUUUGAAGGUGGAUUUGAUGGUAAUUAACUUAAUUAAAUUAAUUUGAUUUUAGCUCUAAAACAUGCACACAUCGCCCGUCGCUCUUA
RNAcentral lists this ribosomal RNA (358 nucleotides) under Zapada cinctipes. RNAcentral describes it as "partial 12S ribosomal RNA". It matches the Rfam family "Microsporidia small subunit ribosomal RNA", at positions 752 to 1207 of the family's 1311-position model. The record is from RNAcentral. Lineage: Eukaryota; Metazoa; Arthropoda; Insecta; Plecoptera; Nemouridae.